AUGCUGUACAUCAUGGGUAACCUGGAGGACAUCAACGGCGAGUAUGUGCUGGUGGGGGUGGACAUGGAGGGGAAAGUGUGGAAGACUAUCCGUGUGCCGUACGGUUCAAAAUUUGGUACUAUUGGAUUGUCGCAGGGGUGCUUACACUAUGUUGUAGCUCCUGUAAAUAAUAACAAUGAAAUCCUAGUUUCUGAGAUAGCACUCUGGUGCCUCAAGGAUUGUGACAGUAAACAAUGGGUCCUGAAGCAUACUGCCAGCAUCGAUACGCUUAUGAGCAUGACUGAGGAGAAGUACAGGGUGGUUGAGAUUCAUCCAGAUUGCGACACAAUUUUCCUGGCUCGGUAUGGAGGUGAUACCUUGGUAUCAUAUGACAUGUGGCAUCAGAAAGUUGGCUGUAUCAUUAAUCUUGAGAAAAACAGUGUACAGAAAUUUCUACCCUAUGUUCCUGUAUUCUCGGAGCCAUUAGCAGAUGCUGAGGGGUAG
RNAcentral lists this ribosomal RNA (483 nucleotides) under Triticum aestivum (bread wheat). RNAcentral describes it as "partial small subunit ribosomal RNA". The record is from RNAcentral. Lineage: Eukaryota; Viridiplantae; Streptophyta; Magnoliopsida; Poales; Poaceae.